CAGGGAAUCUUGCGCAAUGGACGGGAGUCCGACGCAGCGACGCCGCGUGGGUGAAGACGGCCUUCGGGUUGUAAAGCCCUUUUCUGGGGGAAGAGAGAGGACGGUACUCCAGGAAUAAGUGUCGGCUAACUACGUGCCAGCAGCCGCGGUAAUACGUAGGACACGAGCGUUAUCCGGAUUUACUGGGCGUAAAGCGCCUGUAGGCGGUUCUUCAAGUCGUUUGUGAAAGCCCUGGGCUCAACCUGGGGAGGCCAAGCGAUACUGGAGGACUUGAGGGUGACAGAGGGGAGUGGAAUUUCCGGUGUAGCGGUAAAAUGCGCAGAUAUCGGGAGGAACACCAGUGGCGAAGGCGGCUCCCUGGGUCACCCCUGACGCUGAGAGGCGAAAGCUAGGGGAGCAAACAG
Molecule: ribosomal RNA, 404 nt
Filed under: uncultured bacterium
Lineage: Bacteria
Description: bacterial SSU rRNA
Rfam family: Bacterial small subunit ribosomal RNA
Source: RNAcentral